RNAcentral lists this ribosomal RNA (253 nucleotides) under uncultured bacterium. RNAcentral describes it as "partial 16S ribosomal RNA". It matches the Rfam family "Bacterial small subunit ribosomal RNA", at positions 524 to 776 of the family's 1533-position model. The record is from RNAcentral.
UACGGAAGGUGCGAGCGUUGUCCGGAAUCACUGGGCGUAAAGGGCGCGUAGGCGGCGCGGGGAGUCAACGGUGAAAGCUCGGCGCUCAACGCCGAGUCGGCCGUCGAUACUCCCGUGCUCGAGCACUGUAGAGGCAGGUGGAAUUCCGGGUGUAGCGGUGGAAUGCGUAGAGAUCCGGAAGAACACCGGUGGCGAAGGCGGCCUGCUGGGCAGUAGCUGACGCUGAGGCGCGACAGCGUGGGGAGCAAACAGG